RNAcentral lists this ribosomal RNA (254 nucleotides) under uncultured bacterium. RNAcentral describes it as "partial 16S ribosomal RNA". It matches the Rfam family "Bacterial small subunit ribosomal RNA", at positions 524 to 776 of the family's 1533-position model. The record is from RNAcentral.
UACAGAGGGGGCCAGCGUUAUUCGGAAUUAUUGGGCGUAAAGGGCGCGUAGGCGGCUUUGCGUGUCUUUCGUGAAAUCCCUCGGCUCAACUGAGGACGUGCGGAAGAAACUGCAGGGCUGGAGUCCGGGGGAGGAGGGUGGAAUUCCGCGUGUAGCAGUGAAAUGCGUAGAGAUGUGGAGGAACACCGAUGGCGAAGGCAGCCCCCUGGGCUGAGAUUGACGCUCGAGGCACGAAAGCGUGGGGAGCAAACAGG